RNAcentral lists this ribosomal RNA (1700 nucleotides) under Campylobacter jejuni. RNAcentral's name for it is "partial 23S ribosomal RNA". It matches the Rfam family "Bacterial large subunit ribosomal RNA", at positions 1244 to 2925 of the family's 2925-position model. The record is from RNAcentral. Lineage: Bacteria; Pseudomonadati; Campylobacterota; Epsilonproteobacteria; Campylobacterales; Campylobacteraceae.
UUUGCGUCGAAGGUAUACCGGUAAGGAGUGCUGGAGCGAAUAGAAGUGAGCAUGCAGGCAUGAGUAGCGAUAAUUAAUGUGAGAAUCAUUAACGCCGUAAACCCAAGGUUUCCUACGCGAUGCUCGUCAUCGUAGGGUUAGUCGGGUCCUAAGUCGAGUCCGAAAGGGGUAGACGAUGGCAAAUUGGUUAAUAUUCCAAUACCAACAUUAGUGUGCGAUGGAAGGACGCUUAGGGCUAAGGGGGCUAGCGGAUGGAAGUGCUAGUCUAAGGUCGUAGGAGGUUAUACAGGCAAAUCCGUAUAACAAUACUCCGAGAACUGAAAGGCUUUUUGAAGUCUUCGGAUGGAUAGAAGAACCCCUGAUGCCGUCGAGCCAAGAAAAGUUUCUAAGUUUAGCUAAUGUUGCCCGUACCGUAAACCGACACAGGUGGGUGGGAUGAGUAUUCUAAGGCGCGUGGAAGAACUCUCUUUAAGGAACUCUGCAAAAUAGCACCGUAUCUUCGGUAUAAGGUGUGGUUAGCUUUGUAUUAGGAUUUACUCCGAAAGCAAGGAAACUUACAACAAAGAGUCCCUCCCGACUGUUUACCAAAAACACAGCACUCUGCUAACUCGUAAGAGGAUGUAUAGGGUGUGACGCCUGCCCGGUGCUCGAAGGUUAAUUGAUGGGGUUAGCAUUAGCGAAGCUCUUGAUCGAAGCCCGAGUAAACGGCGGCCGUAACUAUAACGGUCCUAAGGUAGCGAAAUUCCUUGUCGGUUAAAUACCGACCUGCAUGAAUGGCGUAACGAGAUGGGAGCUGUCUCAAAGAGGGAUCCAGUGAAAUUGUAGUGGAGGUGAAAAUUCCUCCUACCCGCGGCAAGACGGAAAGACCCCGUGGACCUUUACUACAGCUUGACACUGCUACUUGGAUAAGAAUGUGCAGGAUAGGUGGGAGGCUUUGAGUAUAUGACGCCAGUUGUAUAUGAGCCAUUGUUGAGAUACCACUCUUUCUUAUUUGGGUAGCUAACCAGCUUGAGUUAUCCUCAAGUGGGACAAUGUCUGGUGGGUAGUUUGACUGGGGCGGUCGCCUCCCAAAUAAUAACGGAGGCUUACAAAGGUUGGCUCAGAACGGUUGGAAAUCGUUCGUAGAGUAUAAAGGUAUAAGCCAGCUUAACUGCAAGACAUACAAGUCAAGCAGAGACGAAAGUCGGUCUUAGUGAUCCGGUGGUUCUGUGUGGAAGGGCCAUCGCUCAAAGGAUAAAAGGUACCCCGGGGAUAACAGGCUGAUCUCCCCCAAGAGCUCACAUCGACGGGGAGGUUUGGCACCUCGAUGUCGGCUCAUCGCAUCCUGGGGCUGGAGCAGGUCCCAAGGGUAUGGCUGUUCGCCAUUUAAAGCGGUACGCGAGCUGGGUUCAGAACGUCGUGAGACAGUUCGGUCCCUAUCUGCCGUGGGCGUAAGAAGAUUGAAGAGAUUUAACCCUAGUACGAGAGGACCGGGUUGAACAAACCACUGGUGUAGCUGUUGUUCUGCCAAGAGCAUCGCAGCGUAGCUAAGUUUGGAAAGGAUAAACGCUGAAAGCAUCUAAGCGUGAAGCCAACUCUAAGAUGAAUCUUCUCUAAGCUCUCUAGAAGACUACUAGUUUGAUAGGCUGGGUGUGUAAUGGAUGAAAGUCCUUUAGCUGACCAGUACUAAUAGAGCGUUUGGCUUAUCUUUAAUAAAGCAU